AAGUCGUAACAAGGUUUCCGUAGGUGAACCUGCGGAAGGAUCAUUAACACGUUCCACGUAUCAACCCGAGCACUCGUUUUUACUCUGAUUAAGCUCCAGUUUAGCACCCUACAAACCUCGCAUUUCAGUCCGCAAACGAUAAGGAAACAGACUGAUCAAGUCUGGCGGCUGGCGAUUUGGUAUAGUCUCUUCUGCAUGCAGAGGAGAAAGGGCUCUGGAUGUCUGGUCAUGCUUCUAUUCCUUGUCGAUCUUUCACAUCAUUUACCCCAUUCCAAAACGUACUAAUUUAUAUUUCUUUCUUAAGAAAUUGGAACACUUUCUGCUGCUUUACCGCAGUCGGGAGCGCUCUAACCAACUAAGAAAAACCUUAAGAACAACUCUUAACAACGGAUAUCUUGGCUCUC
This 404-nucleotide unclassified non-coding RNA is filed under the name fungal sp. RNAcentral describes it as "partial internal transcribed spacer region". The stretch from base 1 to 46 matches the Rfam family "Eukaryotic small subunit ribosomal RNA", at positions 1786 to 1831 of the family's 1831-position model. The record is from RNAcentral. Lineage: Eukaryota; Fungi.